AAAAAGUUGAGAAAGAAAUGGAAGAAAAGCAAAAGAGAAGAAAUUCUUAUCAAAAGAGGUAAGUUUUCAAAAACGUUAAAGAUAGAAAACAUGGAUGAAGUAUGACAUGAACGGACACCAUGUUUUCAAGUGAGGGAGUGAAGAUGAUUUAUAAUUGUGACAUAUAUUAAGGUAAAGAAAUGAAUAUGUUAUCAACAUAUAAAUAUGAGUGAUUAAUUUGAAUAGUAACU
This 230-nucleotide long non-coding RNA is filed under the name Gossypium barbadense (sea-island cotton). Its description in RNAcentral is "long non-coding RNA (GBAR_LNC002423)". The record is from RNAcentral. Lineage: Eukaryota; Viridiplantae; Streptophyta; Magnoliopsida; Malvales; Malvaceae.